RNAcentral lists this transfer RNA (69 nucleotides) under Eurycotis floridana (Florida woods cockroach). RNAcentral describes it as "tRNA-Cys". The record is from RNAcentral. Lineage: Eukaryota; Metazoa; Arthropoda; Insecta; Blattodea; Blattidae.
GGCUUUAUAUUCAUGUAAGGUAUGAUAAUAGAAUGCAAUUCUAUAGGAGUAAAAUAUUUACUAAGGCUU